Molecule: ribosomal RNA, 253 nt
Filed under: uncultured bacterium
Lineage: Bacteria
Description: partial 16S ribosomal RNA
Rfam family: Bacterial small subunit ribosomal RNA
Source: RNAcentral
UACGUAGGGUGCAAGCGUUGUCCGGAAUUACUGGGCGUAAAGAGUUCGUAGGCGGUUUGUCGCGUCGUUUGUGAAAACCAGCAGCUCAACUGCUGGCUUGCAGGCGAUACGGGCAGACUUGAGUACUGCAGGGGAGACUGGAAUUCCUGGUGUAGCGGUAAAAUGCGCAGAUAUCAGGAAGAACACCCGUGGCUAAGGCGGCUCUCUAGUACGGUACUGACGCUGAGACGCGAAAGCGUGGGGAGCGAACAGG